UUCGACCCCGAUUUUAACUUGACAACGUUUCCUCCGUGUUUUCGAUUUGCCAGGAGAAUAAUAAUAAUUGUCUGUGUAUAUACAUAUAUAUAUAUAUAUAUAUUAUCCUAUACCGUAUAUGUAAUAAUUCUUGGUCUCGUGGGAAGUGCCAGGUGCGCGACGCGUUGCGUAUUUAGCAAACGAUGAAACCGCGGGGCAAUGGCGAAAGAGAGAGAAAGAAAGAAAGAAAGA
Apis dorsata (giant honeybee) is the source of this 231-nucleotide long non-coding RNA. RefSeq lists it as uncharacterized. Lineage: Eukaryota; Metazoa; Arthropoda; Insecta; Hymenoptera; Apidae. The transcript is spliced from 2 exons. The record is from RefSeq and is a predicted model, not a curated record.